Molecule: ribosomal RNA, 114 nt
Filed under: Salvator merianae (Argentine black and white tegu)
Lineage: Eukaryota; Metazoa; Chordata; Lepidosauria; Squamata; Teiidae
Source: RNAcentral
GCUUAUCAAUUGCAGGGGACAACAACUUGACUGAUCUCAAAAAGCUAAGCAGGGUCUCACUUGGUUAGUACUUGGAUGGGAGACCACAAGUACAAUCCUUGGCGAUUGUAGGCU